GAGAGCCCCAGCAGGUAUGGGGCGGGAUGCGCUGCCUGGGGAUGUCCCCCAUGUGUGUGGGUGAAUAACACGUGCCGGUUGUUUUGCAGGGGUUUGAUUCAGGAGAUGAGCGGCGAUGCUUCUGUGUGCCCGGAUAAAAGUAAAGGAAGUUACCGGCAGCAUUUUUUCAAGCACGG
RNAcentral lists this small RNA (176 nucleotides) under Pan troglodytes (chimpanzee). Its description in RNAcentral is "retained intron". The record is from RNAcentral. Lineage: Eukaryota; Metazoa; Chordata; Mammalia; Primates; Hominidae.